UGCAAUAUAUGAUUUUAUGAAUGUAUAUAUCAUUAUGAAAUCAUUCUGCUAGUAGGCAUUUCAUAUUCCUAAUAGAAUGGUUUAUUCAACACAGUUUGCUUUAUGUUUUAUAAUACUGUAAUCAUAGUUAACCUGAGGUCUUUUUUGGAGGGAUCAUUACAAUGGUACUCUGCCUUGGAAUUUGUACUUCAGGCCUUUCAGUAUUUAAGGGAAGAUAAGAUUAGGUACAUCCUGUGUUCAAAUAUGUAAUGUAAUCAUGCUAAUAGUACCUGGUAUGUUACUAUUUUUGACGUUUCAUCCUAGUUUAAAUUAUUCAUAUGUGGUGCAUAUCAUUCAACAAAGUCAAUCUGAAUCUUCUUGCUGAUACAAGAACUCAACUUUGGCUGAUGUGUUGUUAUUUAUUAAUGACUUCUGUACUGUGGUUGUUGUGACAGUGGCUUUUAUUGCCACAUCCCUUUAAACAACCAUGUGCAUCUUAUUAAAAUUUUAAAUAAAGAUACGUUGACAACAAUUUGGGUUGUGGUAUCAGAGUUUUUGAUAAUUUUGUGACCUCAAUGCGAUUGCAAUUGAGGUCGCAUUAAUUGCAUUUGUUUGCUAUAUUAAAGAUUGUGAUGCAAAUUGCAAUUACCCCAACCUGAUUAAAAGCUUGUUCGGUCUCUAACGAAGCAUACAGUAUACACUAUGCCGACUAACAGUAGAAAGAAAGAUCUGUUGAAGUAUAGGUAAUGGAGCUGACAAUGCAUUUUCCAAUGUUCCCCAAUAAGAAAAAUGGGAGGAAAAUGAUUGGCUUUAUAAGUUGAUGAUAUCUUGGCAAUUAAAUGAUUUUGGCAGCUUCUUAAGAGUGUUUGGAUGAAGGAUUUUAAAGAGGUAAAUUAAUUGUCUAUGGUAAUUAAAAUAAUUUGUCUUAAAAUCCCUUGUUUGCUUAAAAAGCAGGGUAGUUUUUAAAGUUCCUGGACUUUUUAUUCUCAAUUGACUAAAUUCAUUGCUGGAUAACACAUCACCCACCAUUCAUUUUAUUAAUUUUGUAGUUUUCUGCAGAUGGAUUAUUGGUGUCUGUGGGGUAUCAAAUUUGCUAUUCUGACAGGAUUUUAAACAGAGUACGGAAAGGGAUCGCUUUCCAAUAAUUGAUGGGUCCUUUAAUUACACAGCUUGGUUAAACUGCUUAAAUACCAUACUAUGAUUUGAGGGUCAUAUUUAAACACGAGGAUGUCUUUCAAAGAGCUUGUCUGAAAGAUAGUUGAUGAAGCUAUUAGCCGACAGAUUGGAUCCCCUGUAGCUGAGCUGCAUCUGUGCACCCAAGAAAGGGAAGGUAGGGAGAGAAGAUGUGUUAUACAGAUUUUACAGCUGUUGCAUCAUUCAACAACGUUAGAUGAUUUGAUUUAGAUUCAUAAAAUAAAGAGAUGGGGAGAUAAUGUGCAAUUUAGAGAGAGAGAGAUAAUGAGUAGAUAGAGUUGCCAGAGAGGAUCUAAUCCUGUUAGUUGAAAUACCAUCACAUAGGAUCAAUAUUAGUUGAGUCUAGUUAAUUAAGCAUGUGUCUUGAACCACACUUGCAAAUAGUUGAGUUUAGUUAAAUUUAGUCUGAUCUGCCCUAUUCCCACCCUUGCAAGCCGUGUGCGAUCAAUCUAAAGCUACAAGAAUGAGUGCAUGGUUUCAAAGACACGCUAAACAUAUUAUUGACGUCAGUUGUUGAAAAAUGUCCAACACAUUGUGAAAUUGACGUCAGCUGUUGGAAAAUGGCAAAUACAAUUGUAAAAUUGAAGCUUGGAGAGAUAAAUUUGACAAUGAAUUUGCCUCGAGAGGUGAGAAGACAAGACUCCAUUGUCCAAUCAAAUAUGCCAUAUAUGUCUGUUUGUGAUUUGAUUUUUG
This 1866-nucleotide long non-coding RNA is filed under the name Cicer arietinum (chickpea). RNAcentral describes it as "long non-coding RNA (CARI_LNC001229)". The record is from RNAcentral. Lineage: Eukaryota; Viridiplantae; Streptophyta; Magnoliopsida; Fabales; Fabaceae.